CUCUGCCUCCUCUACCACGGGAAGAUGCAUCCAUAGACAUGGACUUCUCGCUGAGCGUGGUUAUGGAGAUGAUGCAGCACCGUCAAGACUACGGGAAAAAGAGCAGCUUCUUCAGAAAGUAGAGAAUGGGGUGGCAAACCUACGUACUAGUGCGUCCAUCGGUCGCUUGUACAGGCAUCAACCUCAGGCUCAGCUGCAAGAGCUCAAGUUCUAAGUCAUAAGCAUGUAUAAAAAAGCGAAGUUGUAGUAAGGCUUACCAGUGAGCGUGAAAGGAGAGCUUUCUGUAUAGCAGCAUAAGAGACUCAAGCUUGUCUUUUGCUUUCGAUCCAUAGCUCCAAUUCGUAACCCCCUCUCGCCUCGCAUGAUGUCGAGCAAUUCACGCGACCAAAAGAAUCAGCGAGCUCCAUCUCUACGAGAAAGCGUACGCAAAACUACUAGCCCCGUACCAUUUUCUUUCUUAGAAUCCGCGUUACACCGAACUUCCCAGAUUCGAACGCUAGAAUUUUCAUGACCGCAUUCCAAAAUCCCAGCAUCCACACGCCCACAUUUCAAGCAGAGGCUCCCGCUGAGCGCAGCGAUCCCUCCCGCGCCUCUUCCCUGUGCCGCUAUCGCUCACCCUAUCGAGAGAGCGCCAUCGCUAAACCCUAGAAACCCUCUAAACCUCGAGCAAUAUAAAAAAAAAAACCAUUUAAUGGAUAUGGUCUAAAGAAUUUCCAGAAAGAUCUUUUCGUUUCUCCUACGGCAUAGUACCACACUCGAUGAUUUCACGUGAAGCGAAUAUACUCGCUUUUCUUUGCUUCUUUGUUUUGCGUAUCCCCGUUCUUCGUCUGGGAUGUUCUAAACCAAAAAAAAAGCCAAGAAAACCACGAGAGAAUCAAGUCAAUAACAUUGACGUGUUAGAUCCAAAUCCAAGCAAGCUCUUCCAAGAAAUGUACCUCCCAAGUCGCUGCCAUGAAAGCCAGUCCCCCGUACCGCAAAAAAACUCUAAACAAAUCCCUCCACCAAAAAGCUGUCUAG
This 1017-nucleotide long non-coding RNA is filed under the name Selaginella moellendorffii. RNAcentral describes it as "long non-coding RNA (SMOE_LNC001588)". Lineage: Eukaryota; Viridiplantae; Streptophyta; Lycopodiopsida; Selaginellales; Selaginellaceae. The record is from RNAcentral.